GUGCGUGGUUGGUGGGUUGGCCAAGAUCUGCAUUCUGCGACUUCGUCUUCACCAUGGACACAAGCAAGGACUGAUUCGUGGGUCUUGGUAGCAGUGCCGAGCAUCGGCGGAUCGAAGAGGUCGAGGUCGCGGUUGAUCGACCAGGACGAGACAUGCAUCUUGGAGCUAGCGCAGAGGGGGAAAGAAGCAGGUUGGUCUGGCCUGGCCUCGCAAAUGAAUUGGUAUGUAGUCUAGUUCUUCCCAUGAAGGUCACAUGCCUAACUUCGUGCUAGACAUUGCUAACUCAGCCACUUGAUGUUAAACUCUGUAUGCGUAACUAGACCUAGCUAACUCCAAGAUUCGAUGUGUUAAAUUAAAGUACCAAUCAGGCAUGUUCACCACUUUGUACGUGUGUGCUCUUGCAUUGCUUACUAUAUCUUGUUGUAUAUGAUGGUCCAUUGUCAGCUAUACAACUUUUGAAUUCUGUCAAGUUCAGUUCAGAUUUGAUUUUUUUUCACCUCUUUUUGCAUGGACAAUGUGUCUGGUGUUUAAAUGAUGGCUACUUGAAAUUCAUAGGCAUUGUGAGGUUAGAAAGGAUUCCAUUUUGACUAUUUUUUUCACUUUGGUUCAAAGUUGUUAGCUGCUACACCUACACGUGGAAAACGUACACUUGGCAUUCUAAAAUUAAGCAGCAACCUUUAUUGCCGGUCAUUUAUAAGUUCAGUGACAAGACAACUGCUGACACAGAGUUCUACCUCUCUGACUGAAACAGGAACUAUGAAGAGUAAUAUAGUAGAAACUAUAGUCAUAGAAACUAAAUUAGAAAUUUACAAGGCAGUGGAACCAGUUCAUAUUUUGUGAGCAACCAAAGUCUCAAGCAGCCUAAAUUCGUAAACUUUUAAUGAACUGGCUUAUGAAAAUUUGAUGGUUUUGUCAAUAGUACAGUAGUACUGGAUAUUCUGCUGUUUCUUGACCUGAUUUUACUACUACGACAUGCAGAAACCUUGAUGCAAAAGGAAACUUCCUGAAGAAGAUAUUGAAAAUCCAACAUCACAGCAUAUAGGAGACUACUUAUUUUGGUCAUGCUGAUCGAUUGGCCUAUGAAACUUCUGCGACUUCAUAUUCACCAUGGACACAAGCAAGGACUGAUUCGUGGGUCUUGGUAGCGGUGCCGAGCAUCAGUGGAUCGAAGUGGUCGAGGUCGCGGUUAAUCGACCAGGACGAGACAUGCAUCUUGGAGCUAGCGCAGAGGGGGAAAGAAGCAGGUUGGUCUGGCCCGGCCUCGCAAAUGAAUUGGUAUGUCCAGUUCUUCCCAUGAAGGUCACAUGCCUAACUUCGUGCUACACAUUGCUAACUCAGCCACUUGAUGUUAAACUCUGUAUGCGUAACUAGACCUUGCUAACUCCAAGAUUCGAUGUGUUAAAUUAAAGUACCAAUCAGGCAUGUUCACCACUUUGGACGCAAAAACAAAGUGUAUGAGCAUGCAAUGUAUAAUUGGUGAGAUUAGGGGAAUGUACUGACAAGUGAUGAGCAUAUUUUCUUGUGUGUCGUCCUCGAUGUUGCUUCCUUGGCUCACACAGUAGUUCUCUUAAUACGUACCGUACUCGAUUUGAUUGGCAGGCUUCAGGUAAUUCAUGUUCGUGUGGUAAGAAUCGAUUGUACCACUUUGUUGAUGCAAUAACAUCAAUGGACCUGUACUGCUACGAGUUACAUCAUGAACUAUGUGCUACUUUAUUAAUUGUAGUUUCUUUGUUCAGUUAGUUCUCUGAAACAAAACCACUUCUCUCGAUGUAUAUGUUUCUUGGCAAAAUUUGUUGUAAUACUAAUCUUCCAGAGAUUGUUGUAAGAAAUAACUAUAUUUAGUAUCUUACCUCAUCAGUGGGUUAAUUAUAUAGAAUAACUAAUAAGGAGAUUUCUUAGCAGUAUUGUAUAUGUUUGGAGCAGUGAGACAAUUUUAUCGUAUAUGACUUUCUUUCACUUGCCUUUCCUGAUUUCGUUUUCCCCUCCAUUUAUUUCAGGUUCCAAAGUUUGACCGUAGCUAGCUUGAUUUGGAGACAUUUCAUGUUAGGACUUAAACUUUGGUACCUUUGUUACUUGGUAUUCCCCUGUCAGCGUUCAGGUAUACACUAUCUACCAUAUUGUUUAAUCUGGGGUUUACUACGGUGCCAAGUGUACUAUAUUGCUAGAUUCAACUUUAACCUAUGAGUUGCUCUGUAUCUAUUUCAGCAUAAAUGAUUCAACUUUAACCUAUUUAAUUAGUGAUCUUACUUCUGUUGCUUCUUGGUGAAUAUGAAAUAUAUGGCGUUUUCAUGGAAGCAGGAGUCGGGUAGUUGUGGAGUGGGUCGUGGGAGAGACCGUCGGCGAGAGCGGGCUGGAUGGGAAGGUGAUGCCUGCGAUGGCGAACAUGCCGGCGAGCAGGGAAGGGUUGACCAUGGCCAUUGCGCAGCUGAAGAAGUCGAAGCCUGGGGCGAGGUUGGCCACCGUGGCCGAUGUGAAAGCUGACGGACCUAAAGGCUGGUGACAGGUUCACCGCCAUCACAAUCUCUGAACUUGGUGGAGACGCGGAAGGAGAGCGGUGGCGCCGUGAAGACCUCAACGUUUGCUGCCGCGGCCAUGACCAUGAUCAUGACCAUUGUGUUGGUAAUAAAUAUACUAAUUGUAUACAUAUCCCCCAGCUUAGGAAACAUUAGAUAAAUAUCCAACUUAUUAUUGAAAAAGCUUGAUUCAAAAUAAAUGGAACCUUUCCUAUAUACAAUGAGCUUCGGAAACAUUAGAUAAAUAUCCAACUUAUUAUUGAAAACUCUUGAUUCAAGAUAAAUGGAACCUUUCCUAUAUACAGUGACCUUAUUAUUGAAGGUUGCAUCGAUUGUGCUAUUAUUGCUGAAAUAAGAGGCUUAUGAAUUUGUCAAUCUUUGUGUACCUUGUAAUAGUGACACGUUGUUGCGUGAAGUUGAGUGAUACUCCCUCCGUAAAGAGUGUUUAGGGAGUAC
RNAcentral lists this long non-coding RNA (2969 nucleotides) under Triticum aestivum (bread wheat). Its description in RNAcentral is "long non-coding RNA (TAES_LNC015037)". The record is from RNAcentral. Lineage: Eukaryota; Viridiplantae; Streptophyta; Magnoliopsida; Poales; Poaceae.